CCUACGGGAGGCAGCAGUGGGGAAUCUUGCGCAAUGGGCGAAAGCCUGACGCGGCCAUGCCGCGUGAAUGAUGAAGGUCUUAGGAUUGUAAAAUUCUUUCACCGGGGACGAUAAUGACGGUACCCGGAGAAGAAGCCCCGGCUAACUUCGUGCCAGCAGCCGCGGUAAUACGAAGGGGGCUAGCGUUGCUCGGAAUUACUGGGCGUAAAGGGAGCGUAGGCGGAUAGUUUAGUCAGAGGUGAAAGCCCAGGGCUCAACCUUGGAAUUGCCUUUGAUACUGGCUAUCUUGAGUGUGGGAGAGGUAUGUGGAACUCCGAGUGUAGAGGUGAAAUUCGUAGAUAUUCGGAAGAACACCAGUGGCGAAGGCGACAUACUGGCCCAUUACUGACGCUGAGGCUCGAAAGCGUGGGGAGCAAACAGGAUUAGAUACCCUGGUAGUCCACGCUGUAAACGAUGAGUGCUAGUUGUCGGCGAGCAUGCUGUCGGUGACGCAGCUACGACAUAAGACACUCCGCCGUCGGGAGGUACGGUCGCGAGAAUAAACUAACGAAAGAAGUAGACGGCGUGAGACGUCGCCGACGGACGACGACGAGGGAGGUUAGG
Molecule: ribosomal RNA, 603 nt
Filed under: uncultured bacterium
Lineage: Bacteria
Description: bacterial SSU rRNA
Rfam family: Bacterial small subunit ribosomal RNA (bases 1-516)
Source: RNAcentral